UAAUGAUUCAACAGAUUAGUGAAACUAGAAAUUGUACUGAAGACUUUCUAUCACUUAAAUACAUGCUAAGACAUUACAGUGUCUAAAAAGUAAAAACAAUAGUUAAAGACUACAGGCCAAUCCAUUAUACAGGAUGAUGUAACCUUAUGAUGUACAACAUUCUAAUAUUCUAGAGGAGAGAAAGCUAAAGCAUAGGGCUUGUUUCUCAAUUACCAGCACAUAAAUGCAACUACGGGAUAAAAGGUGGGUAGAUUAGAGUCUCAUUUCACAUUUAA
Molecule: unclassified non-coding RNA, 275 nt
Filed under: Hevea brasiliensis (rubber tree)
Lineage: Eukaryota; Viridiplantae; Streptophyta; Magnoliopsida; Malpighiales; Euphorbiaceae
Source: RNAcentral